CUGCAUCCUCAUAAGGUCUCUAACCAUUAGAGAACACACACACACACAACUGGUUGUGAAAUGGAAUUUAGGGCACUGACUGCAUUAAUUGGGCAGACAAGUGCCUGAGAACCUCAUAGAAUAAGGAUUGGCCCAGCCUGGAAAAUGCAACUUGGAUAUAAGAACUAAUUAUAGAUCUUCUACUUUGUAAACUCCUGAUGCCAUACCUGAGAGACACUUCCGCCAAAAACUUGGCUGGAAUCUACCUCAAUAUCCAGCUUUACAAACUUUGUUGCUAGUCAAAUAAAGACUGAGGAAAAAGAUUGAGAGAUAGGCCCAAAUUGUUUAUUUUUUUCAUUCCCUUUCUCCCAUAUUCCAAAUAAAAAUGAUAUCAGUGGACACCACAAACUUAGCACAACUAGUGUUAGCUGCUCUUCUACCUUCAUGAUGUACAAAUGAUUAAACAGGGACAUGUUCAGUCCAGUAUAAUUUUUUCAUAAGAAGGAAAGUAAAAAUCUCCCUCUCUCAGAGCAUAGUCAAGUCAAAGAACUUUUUAUCACAAUUUCUUU
This 548-nucleotide long non-coding RNA is filed under the name Marmota monax (woodchuck). The record is from RNAcentral. Lineage: Eukaryota; Metazoa; Chordata; Mammalia; Rodentia; Sciuridae.